GAUGAACGCUGGCGGCGUGCCUAAUACAUGCAAGUCGAGCGAACGGACGAGGAGCUUGCUUUUCUGAUGUUAGCGGCGGACGGGUGAGUAACACGUGGAUAACCUACCUAUAAGACUGGGAUAACUUCGGGAAACCGGAGCUAAUACCGGAUAAUAUUUUGAACCGCAUGGUUCAAAAGUGAAAGACGGUUUUGCUGUCACUUAUAGAUGGAUCCGCGCUGCAUUAGCUAGUUGGUAAGGUAACGGCUUACCAAGGCAACGAUGCAUAGCCGACCUGAGAGGGUGAUCGGCCACACUGGAACUGAGACACGGUCCAGACUCCUACGGGAGGCAGCAGUAGGGAAUCUUCCGCAAUGGGCGAAAGCCUGACGGAGCAACGCCGCGUGAGUGAUGAAGGUCUUCGGAUCGUAAAACUCUGUUAUUAGGGAAGAACAUAUGUGUAAGUAACUGUGCGCAUCUUGACGGUACCUAAUCAGAAAGCCACGGCUAACUACGUG
RNAcentral lists this ribosomal RNA (497 nucleotides) under uncultured bacterium. Its description in RNAcentral is "partial 16S ribosomal RNA". It matches the Rfam family "Bacterial small subunit ribosomal RNA", at positions 28 to 507 of the family's 1533-position model. The record is from RNAcentral.